Molecule: long non-coding RNA, 3123 nt
Organism: Gallus gallus (chicken)
Lineage: Eukaryota; Metazoa; Chordata; Aves; Galliformes; Phasianidae
Exons: 3
Source: RefSeq, a predicted model, not a curated record
CUAGGGGGUAAGGAGCUUGUUCUGAGCAAACCAGCACAAGAAUUAGGUCACAAAUUUUGGAAGCGUACCUUUUGUGUCAUUAAGUCAAGAGUAACAAGGCUGGCAGUGGAGACAAGCAGUUCUUGCUGGAGAUCCCUGGGUGCUUGAGACCUUCCUCAGGAAAAAUCAACCUACGGUUGAGGAACAAUGUGAAGGUGAAGCCAGGUUUGCUGGAUGAGAUUUGUCUCGUGGCUAUUCAACUACCUGGGCUCUCCCUCUUCUGCACAGGACAGGAAGAGAAAUCAAGAUGGAACAGCUGGUGGGAGAUAGCCUACCAGCUAGUGUUAAAGGAAACAGAGUUUGGACUUUGAGAAAAUUGAUUUCACUUAUUCUGGGUAAUCCUGAAUGCUGCUAUGCUUUUCUCUGAUUUUGAAUUAAUAGGAAUUGGACAUAUGCUCUUGCUGAUUUGAUGGAACUUAAAUAAAUUCACGUGGUGAGGAGAGGCAAAGAUCUUUUUGUGGUUACACGAGGAUUUCCCUCAAUGAGGUUUAUUUACAGCAACGGAUUCCACAGUGCCUUACCCAACUUGUAGAGAGGGUAAUAUCACACAGUUUUGCAGCCUCAUCUGAAAUCUCACCAUAGAAAGAGUUCAUGAGCUUAUUUUUCUUGAAAUACAUGGUUCUUUUGUGAUCUCAUCUUUAUUGUAUUAGCACUGAUUACUCGCUUCUGAAAAUGUAUCUAUCGCACAGUCCUGCUUUGACUGAGGCCUCUCUAUGGCAGUCAGCCUUUAGUGCGUUACUUUUCUGUUUCUCUCUGUUUAACUUCUGAGUGCAUUAACACCAAGAGCUUGAGACAAAGCUAGUGUAACGUAAUCUACUUGUUAUUUUGCCCUGUUGGCACCACAGAAAGAAGGGAGAACAGAGUUGCUGUAGGAAAGUCUUGCAGCUGUAACAUUUCCAUGUAACACUGAGUGUUUUUCUGUGACAAGAAUUACAUUUUCCACUGAGGAGGCCCAAGACCAGGUGCAACAUGUAAACUCUUGUAACUUCCUUGUUUGUGUUUUCAGUCUGGUUCUAAAGCAGAAUAAAUCCCAUUGCCUGCUGGAUAUGCCUUCUGAGCAUGUAAGGAAAGAAAUCCUCUGUUAUAAGAUUUUUGAGCCAAAUAAGUGACAAUGACCCCUGGACCCCAAGACCUUUCCUGACAUUAGAAGGCUUCUCCUAUCAGCAAAUGAAGUCCUGACCUAACCUAGUGACCGGUAGCUGACUUUGUAUUUGUGUUGGUUGCUCUGAAAGUAAUGCCUUGUAUGUAUUUCCACUGGAAAAUACAACAGAUAGAACCAGCACAAGGAUGCUAUUUGAGAGAGAGAGAGAGAAUUCUCAGCUACAGAAUACUGCUUGUCAAUGGUCAGCUGCCUGGUAUCCUGUGCAUUUUCUGCCAGUGAUGAACAAGAACCUGCAUGCUGCACUCGUAAUCUAUCUGCACUAGCAGUGGUGACCCUGAGUUGCCACUGCUGAAACACACCACCAACCUCCCCUGUGCAUUCACAUCCCACGUUUGGUCUCCAUAAAUGUUCAGCAAGCUUCAGUGGCUGUCAACAAGUGCCUUUUUUUCCACACAGAGGAAUUCAGUGGCACACCUUUGCUUCCCACGCACUUCCAUGUUGGAUGCCAUUCUGUUGGACUGCCCCUCUGCUGCCAUUUGUCUCACAGCAACAAAAUGUAAUUGGAGUAUUGGUGGGAAGGUUCAGCUUCUACUACCACCACCUGUCGUGUUCCCAUCUAAUGUUGUGGGCCUGACAUAAUGAAAUAGGAGGCAUUAUUUUUGAAACAGGUCCUCCUAGAACAUGUAUGUAGAGUAAUAUAUGCAGAAUAGAGAAUGUUUUGAUAGUAGAUUUGUUCUUUUGGUAUCCUACUAGUUAUUUAUUUUAUCUACAGUUACGAUAGCGUUAUUUGUAGGGCUUCUCAUUAAUUGAUGUGCAUAUUUUAACAAUGUGUUUGAGUACUCCCUCAUUUCUCCUUUGCCCCAGCAGGUGAAGGGUGGGGGGUGGGAGUGUUCUUUGUAGCUUUAAAUGCAUUAGAGUAAAAGAGCGAAACGUAGAAGCUGUUUCACUGGGUAAAAGAAAUUUUGAACUGUAUAGAUCUAGCAGCAGUAAAUUUGUUGAAAAAUUAUGAAGGGAAAUGCCCUGGUAUUUGAUGAAGAUACGAAAUGUGGCAGGCUAUGAACUAUGUUUAUAUGUUUUUUCUCACUUUGAAACUAGUGGGAAUUACGUAACUGACUGCCUUUCACAAUCUGAUCCAAACAUUUUAUCAGAAUCUCCAGAAACUGUUCUUGUUUUUCUCCUUUCCCCCAUGUGACUUGACAGUAGCUUUGCUGAGGGUCAAGAGUUGAGAUCCUUUGAAGUUGUAUAUGGAGGAGUGAGUUUAUCUUGAAAAACCAUAAAAUUUGCAAUUUAAAGGCAAACGCUAUUCUAUUUGUUUCUGUAGCUCCCAUCAGCAGCAUAAGUAAGUGUCUCACAAACUAUAAGGAGAUUAGUGCUCAGACUUGUCUUGUUAUGGACAGAAAUAAUUGGAUUUCAAAAUCAUAAGCAGGAAGUAUGUAGGAAGUAGGUUCACAUGUACUCACCUCUUUAGGUCUAAUAGUUCAUGCAACGUCCUUGGUACUGACUGCUCUUUGACAAAGUAUUCCUUUUUGCUAUUGAACACCAUAAAUCAUCAGAAGAAACUUCUGUAAAAUUAAACAAUGUAUUGAGGGAAAAAAUAUACCAUAUUACAAUUUACCAUGUUGCCAUAUUACAUUUGAAAGUCUUUUUGUGUUUUGUUGUUUGCUUUUGUCUGAUUCUAUUCAACAGGAGUAUGUAAGGUGGCAUCUGUCUGUAAGAGUACCCUUCCUUUGGGGUAUCUGUGGCGAUAUCUGCUGUGGAGUAAGAAGAUAAAUAAGAUUUUCCCAACCAAUAAAAAUGAUACCCCAACACUUCUUUCUACAUCUCUUACCAUUUUUCCUCUAAGCUGUUUCUAUGUAUAAUAGGAAGACUUUGGAAUGUAAAACUUAGGAACUGAGUUGAGUAAACAAGCAAGUCUAUAAAGUAGCAGUUCAGUUGAGUACCGUGUCUAAAACUCACCUCCUCUGUGCUUUCCUUACACACGG